This 698-nucleotide long non-coding RNA is filed under the name Hordeum vulgare. Its description in RNAcentral is "long non-coding RNA (HVUL_LNC013963)". Lineage: Eukaryota; Viridiplantae; Streptophyta; Magnoliopsida; Poales; Poaceae. The record is from RNAcentral.
ARCCAAACGAAAGCUAUUUAAAUAAACCAUACUGAAACAACAUUGGAGUAACACUCAUGUUCUGUAUCAACACCCUAAAUGUUAAUUUAACCACUAAUCUUAGUUAUAGAACCAAUAUAUCUUGCCAGAAAAUACAAGCCAACCCAAAACAACACCUUAUAGGUAGAUAUUGUAAUUGGGCACUAACCAUAUAGGAAAUCAGUGCAAGACUUUCUAGUAAUAUAUCUACAAAUGUUAUCUGAAAGGGUCACACAGUAAAAAUAUUAUCAUGGUUGCAGUAGUGAGUAAGGAAGUUACAUUUGGUGCAAAUUUAGAUUUGAUUUUCCACCAUCCUCCAUCAUGCGGUACCAUAUUCCCUCAAAACUAAUAUCAAUAAAAUGCAUAACUUGUAGAGGUCGUCAAUAAUGGAUGUUGGAGUCUAGUAAAUUUUUGUGCUUUUCUUAUAAAUGUGUUAAAAACAUGGAAUAAGCAAUUCCCAAUAUUUGGUAUCACAAAAGAUGAACUUAGCAAGUUGGAAUGGGUUAAAUCAUCUUCUAUUUUGAAACAUGUACUAAAUCAUGAGCAACAUUCAUUUUUCCUUCAUUGCCUAAAAUUGGGUUACAAACCACAGAUCGUUUGAACAUAUAUUAGCAAAUUCUGUUAAGAAUGCAUCUAUGAAGACCACCAUAAGAUUUUGAACAAAAGAAAUAACCAUGGGG